CGGAGGAGAAACAUUCCUCCUCACUGCUCACUACGUCCCUCCACGGCCCUGUCGCAGCCGCGUUCCUGUGCGAUGUGCAUGUUCCAGCGUUCUGGGUGGUUCUGUUCAGCAUCAGUUUGGGGGAAACUGGGGAUUCGAGAGGCUGUGCCUCAACUGCUGACUUGAUAAUCUGGAAGCCUGGAGGCCUCAGACAUACCUGGUGUCCAGGACCAUGCUGCCUCAGCUGCACUGUGGAUACCUUACAUCCUAUCCACAGCGCCUAUGGAGCUGGAGACUACAUCUAGACGGUAGACUUCCACAUCUGAUCCAGGUUGGCAUCUCCCAGAGUGCUUUGUACAGAGUUGGCACACUUGCAGAAUGUCAGCAGAAUGAAAGUUACUGAAUGCUGAUGCAAGUUUUAACACAUACCCCAGGUAUUUGCAGCAUGAAAGAAGUCUAAUGUGGAGGAAGAUGUUUAGAUAAGUGCUUAAAGAAGAGCCAAACAGCAAGAAAGAGAGGAAUAGAAACAUGCACAGAGGAGUCUUGCCUGCUUGGUUGACUGAGAGGAAGCAGGGAACCGGCUCCUGCCUCCCCUCAUCAUAUCCAGCGUGUGUUGUGUGUGUAUAUGUGUAUACGUGUGC
Long non-coding RNA from Hyaena hyaena (striped hyena), 620 nucleotides. RefSeq lists it as uncharacterized. The record is from RefSeq and is a predicted model, not a curated record. The transcript is spliced from 5 exons. NCBI's taxonomy places the organism in Eukaryota, Metazoa, Chordata, Mammalia, Carnivora, Hyaenidae.